This 521-nucleotide long non-coding RNA is filed under the name Meleagris gallopavo (turkey). Its description in RNAcentral is "lncRNA (ENSMGAG00000018407.1)". Lineage: Eukaryota; Metazoa; Chordata; Aves; Galliformes; Phasianidae. The record is from RNAcentral.
AUCCUCAUAACAUAUUCAAAAGUAUUAGCAUACAUUCAAGUUUGAAUGUGAUUGUUUGUAAAUACUUUGAUGUAGAACUUCUUUUUCUUUUUACUUCUUUGUUGUUUUAGAAGGCAAUUGUAAGAGGCUAGCUGAAUCCAGAUUUCAAACCUAUCUGUACUCUGCAUUUUUGUGGCUGAAAAAGAAGUUUAACUACCUAGAUGAAGAUGAUGUAUUCCACUAAGUAUUUGAAGACUAUUCUCUUCAUGCUAAGAAACCAUAAUAUUUUUUCCUGUGGGCGAUGUCAUCAAGGGAAAGCAUCAAUCUCACUAGCAGAAGAGCUAGAAUGUCAACAUUUGGAGUCCACAGCCACAUAUUUUUGCUGCUAUGACACAACCCAUCUGGAAAUCGGGUUGCACAGCAACAUAACAAGGGAAGUAUUUGUAAGAAGCAUUCAUCCAGAAGAUAGCUCCUUUCAGAACUUUGAUCAUCCUUCAGGCCAUAGGGCAGCUCUGCUUUCUUUGCUACCAUCCGAAGUGUAA